Molecule: non-coding RNA, 23 nt
Organism: Drosophila melanogaster (fruit fly)
Lineage: Eukaryota; Metazoa; Arthropoda; Insecta; Diptera; Drosophilidae
Source: Ensembl
AAAGGAACGAUCGUUGUGAUAUG